GAACGCUGGCGGCAGGCUUAACACAUGCAAGUCGAACGGUAGCAGGAAGAAAGCUUGCUUUCUUUGCUGACGAGUGGCGGACGGGUGAGUAAUGCUUGGGAAUCUGGCUUAUGGAGGGGGAUAACUGUGGGAAACUGCAGCUAAUACCGCGUAAUCUCUGAGGAGUAAAGGGUGGGACCUCUUGGCCACCUGCCAUAAGAUGAGCCCAAGUGGGAUUAGGUAGUUGGUGGGGUAAAGGCCUACCAAGCCUGCGAUCUCUAGCUGGUCUGAGAGGAUGACCAGCCACACUGGAACUGAGACACGGUCCAGACUCCUACGGGAGGCAGCAGUGGGGAAUAUUGCGCAAUGGGGGGAACCCUGACGCAGCCAUGCCGCGUGAAUGAAGAAGGCCUUCGGGUUGUAAAGUUCUUUCGGUAAUGAGGAAGGGAUGUUAUUAAAUAGAUGGCAUCAUUGACGUUAAUUACAGAAGAAGCACCGGCUAACUCCGUGCCAGCAGCCGCGGUAAUACGGAGGGUGCGAGCGUUAAUCGGAAUAACUGGGCGUAAAGGGCACGCAGGCGGACUUUUAAGUGAGAUGUGAAAUCCCCGAGCUU
This 592-nucleotide ribosomal RNA is filed under the name Pasteurella multocida. RNAcentral describes it as "bacterial SSU rRNA". It matches the Rfam family "Bacterial small subunit ribosomal RNA", at positions 31 to 610 of the family's 1533-position model. Lineage: Bacteria; Pseudomonadati; Pseudomonadota; Gammaproteobacteria; Pasteurellales; Pasteurellaceae. The record is from RNAcentral.